This is a long non-coding RNA of Carya illinoinensis, 2744 nucleotides long. RefSeq lists it as uncharacterized. The transcript has 2 exons. The record is from RefSeq and is a predicted model, not a curated record. Lineage: Eukaryota; Viridiplantae; Streptophyta; Magnoliopsida; Fagales; Juglandaceae.
CCCAAACUUUUAAGCUAAAAAUAUCAAAAAUAUACCAUAAACUUUAAAUUUUAAGCUAAAAAUAUCAAAAAUAUACCAUAAACUUUAAAUUGAAAUUAAAUAACAAAUAGGGAAUGAAAAGAGCAAGUCAGAUAGAUGGUGAUAGAGAUUGAAAACAGUGAAAGAGACUGAACUGUAGCAGCAAUUGGAUCCCUCAAUGAGCUCUUCAAUAACACGACUGCAGCAUAAGUAAGCGGUGGUGUGGAUGUUGGGAUGAAUGCCCCAGAGAAUAAAAACGUGCGGUGCUGAAAAUGCCAUUUUUCAUGAAAAACAACUCUCCUCUUUGUGGCGUGAAUAAACUAGACGAAAAGCCCUUGGUUCCAAUUUUGGUUUCGUGCGGUGCUAAAUUAAUAUGGAGAAAAAAAAUAAAAGUGUACCAUGCCUCCUUCAAGUCCUAAUGAAAAAUAAAAUCUUUUUAUCUUAUGCGGCGUACGUAUAUGAAACACCCAAUACCCCUCCAAUUCAAACACCCAAUACCCCUCCAAUUCAAUAUGUGCGGCAUGCAGAAAUGCCCCAAAUGAAAAUGCAUUGCCCCAGGUCAAAGUUCCAUUCCGAAAUAAAUUCCUUUUAUCCGUGCGGUGUGUCAACUUGAAGUCCCAGCGUGUAACUUUUAUUAAUCCCAACUUUCAUUUCUUUUGAUCACUGCAUAUAAAGAUAAAUAAAAUAAAAUAAAAUAAGAAAAAAUAUACAUAUGUUGUGCAUAUAAAGAAAAAUUACUCAAUUAAAUCACAAGUUCUAAUAUUAAGCAUGCCACCUUCUUCUGAAACUCCAGUGAAGCAUCAUUGCCAAACAGAGGGCGAGAUGCCAACAGCUGCCCAAAUGAAGAUGUUGAGGGCACCACUGUCAACAUGGGUCUAGAUAGGACCACUGAAUUUGGUACUGAGCCAAAUCUGGAAAGGAAGGUGUCUAAUACACCCACAUCAUUGCCUGCUUCUCCCAUGCUGGAUGAUCUUGAUAGACUUGUGGGCCAAGACCUUGUGAACUUGGCCGCUGCCUUUGACCUUGAACUACCUGCUCAAGGGUCAACUUUAAUGGGUAGUCCACCCUUCAAGUUUCUUUACCUUCUUGCUUCUACGCCUAGCGGCGGGGAAUCCAACUUCGAGAUUUUCAAAGCCUUUUCCCUAGUGGCUGGGAUAGUGAUUCCUGAGAUAACACCCAUUACAACUCGUGGCGACCAAAUUUACAAUUCUAUUACUUUACCUACAACUAUUUCUAGGGGCAUCACCCCUUCGACGGACAACAAAUGAGUCUCUAUCCCCUUGCCCUCCCCCUCUUCCUUCGGCGUCAAUGUGGAAACUUCAACCCCUAAGGAAGGGGUGGGUCAUCGGGAGGAGAUCAUGUGGCAGCUGGUAAUGAGGAAGAAGAAGCUAAUGAAGAUGAAGAGGAACUCGUUGCUACUCCAUCCCCUUAUACCUCUACACCAAAUGUGGAGGCCACUACCACUCCUAUUGCACCUAAGACGGGGACCACAGUUUCACCUGUUGUGCCAGAUAUGUUUCCCCUAGGAAGAGUUUAGGUAGAGAAUCACCAAGCCAAGGAGAUAGUGGCUGAAGGCCCUUCUGAUGCAAGUUCCCUAGCUUAGGAUGGGGGUGUGGAGAUGUCACAUUGCCUGAAGGAUUUUUUUACUAUGGGUGUGGAUAGCAUGGCAACUUGGAUUACUAACGACUGGGCUGAUCUAGAGUUUGAAGUUCGCGAAAGGCAAAAAGUUGCCUUCUACGCCAAACAAGAGAUUUCUCACCUGUUAGCUGAGGAGACUGAGUUGGAGUCUUACCUCAAGCAAGCUGAUGGGCACAUUCACUUUCUAGAAGGUAAACUUGAUAUUCUCUGUGAGGAUGUAUUUGAGCUUCAAGGUGAGUUACUUCAUGUUGGGUCUACAUGUUGGGUCUUUGAAUGCCAAGCAAGGCUUUGCCCUAUUGGUAGAGUCUUGGCAUGACUUAGCUCACGCCUAACUGCAUAAGGCAAGAAGGAAUUAGAAUCCUCCCAGCAGCAGAUGGUCGCGACUAAGCAAAAUUGUUCUAAACAUGCUCAGGCGCUAGCUGCCUCUGAAGGAUUGGUAAGCAGAUCUCCCUUGACCUCUCGUAGGCUAAGGUGUUGCAUGUUGCAGCCCAAAGGGAACUCAAUUUCCAGUUGGCCAAGAGUAAGGGUUCUUAUGAAGAUCUACGCAAGAUGUUCGAUACUUACAAGAAAAAUCAGGAGACUCUUGACACCAAGCAAGAUAGGCAUAACCAGGCUCUGAUCAAUCUGGAUAAAAAGAUGAGGAAGCAUAAUUCACAACUAUAAGAGCUAGAGGCCGAACUGAAUGUUUCAAGGAGUGAAGUGGUUCGCUUGCAUUUGUAGUUGGCCUCUGCCAUUGGCAUAAGGGAUUAAGCCUUUGGGUAUGGAUAUGGGGUUGGCAUGGCUCAUCUGCGAGCCCAUUUUUGGCUCACCCUUAAACUAACUAGAAGAAUUUGAAACUUGAUGAUUUUAAGCCUCCUAAUGCAGCAGUUCAAUUUGUUGGCUCCUUGGGGCACAAAAGCAUGUCUGACACUUUCUUGAGCUUGCCGCCACCCUCGACAUCCUCAAAUCCUCCACCAAAUCCUCCCUCUUAGGCAUCUAAAUUCUUGUAUCUAUUUUUUUUAAGUUGACUCGAAUAUAAAUCUUUUGUAACCAGGGUUUGUAUAAUUCGCUGGACAGAUUGACAUUGAUAUGCUAUGAAAUUUUGCUAA